Molecule: non-coding RNA, 7734 nt
Organism: Monodelphis domestica (gray short-tailed opossum)
Lineage: Eukaryota; Metazoa; Chordata; Mammalia; Didelphimorphia; Didelphidae
Source: RefSeq, a predicted model, not a curated record
CCGGGAGAAGGUAGGGUUCCGGGAGCUAGGAGCUGGGAGGGCUCCUGGGGAUGACGUACAUCUGGGGCCUCCCCAAAGCCGGUCCGGUUGGGGGCGGUAGGUAUUGGAGAUACAAGGAGAAAGAAUGAAGGAGGUCUUGUCUUCAAGCAGCUUACACCAUAAAAGAUAAGUGCAUCUUUAAGUCUGGUACAAAGCAGAGUGUGGGAAGCCUCUUGUUUCAGAGAAGGGCCUUUCCCUAAUACUUGUUCUAUAAGGAGUGACACUGGCCAUCUGUCUUAGGUUGGGAUGCCUGGGCUACUAAAGGGAUGAGGAGAAGUGGCAUCUGAAGUAGGGGAACAGUAGAAAAACAACUUGUAGAUGGGAUUGAGCCCUUAAAAUCGGGGCAGAGGCUGGAGCAGGGGAGUCUCAAUAGGUCAGGAGUUCAGGCAAGAGGUAUGAAGAGGGGGGCAGCUAGACAGCUCAGUGGGAAUUAUCCUCAUCCUCCUCUCUACUCCUUUCUGCCAGCCACCUCCUUGCCAGCUGUCCAGUCAGAGUCCUGGGCUUCCCGCUGCGUUAUCAAGGUAUUCUGUGGAGGUUGCAGCCUUGGCUUUGGGAUCUUAGUCAGCAAGAUUCUUACCAUGGCUCUCAGCUCAGUCCAUGGAGGAGGGGUGUUGGAGAUUGAGCUUCCUUGCCCUCUGAAGGCUUCAUAUCUGUCCUAUUGAUAGACUAGAUUAAGCCAGGCAGAGCUGAUCUAUAGAGCUGGAUGUGCCCUGAGGCCAAAACCUCAAGAAGUGGAGGCCCCAAAUGAAGUGGCUGCGACCAGGCUGCCCUAUUCUCCAUGCUCUCCUUCAGCCACCUCCCCAUGGGCUGUGGUCAGAGUCCUGAGACUAUCACAGCUAUGGCAGCAAGACACUCCCUCCAACCUGAAAUUCCAGCCACUGCCAGAGUCUCAGCACAGUAGGUAGGGGAGGGGUCUUGGGACCUUUUCCUUUUCCUUAAACCUGAGAAUUUAGGCUUCUUUGCAUACCUUUUAAAUUGAGCCGAGUAGGAGGGUCCCCUAGCUCUAUCCUGUUGUUAGAUUUGGUUUUCUACCCCCUGGAAGCACUUUGAUUUUCAUCUGUGUGGAAAGGUUUUUGAAGAGGACUCAAUUUUAGCUGCUUCUAAGUGGCCAUCUUGACUCUUCCUUCCCCCCUCCCCCCCACCUCCUCCCCACCUUGGCUCAGUGGUUUGAGAGCCAGGCCUAGGGAUGGGAGGUUCAAAUCUGGCCUUGGACACUUCGUAGCUGUGUGACCCUGGGCACUUAACUCCCAUUGCCUUACCCAUACCACUUUUCUGACUUGGAACCAAUGUUCAGUCUUGACUCUAAGACAGAAGGUAAAGGUUUAAAAAAAAUAAAAGGUAAUGAAGAAAUGAAACAAGGUGAGUUUAAUAAACACUAAGCCCUGGAAGACCCCAAGGAUGGGAAGAACCUAAGGAACAAAGGGAACACAACCCUUGCUUAUUACACUUUCAAUUAUAAGGGCAGGUUCUAAGGUUGAUAUUGUUUUGAGAUGUGGGGAAAGUCAGAAGGAGAACUUAACCUGUGAAAGGGGGUAAGGAGCAGGAAUCACCAAGAUGUUAAAUUACUUCUGUCUUCAGCUAAUAUAGAUGUUUUAUCCAGUAUUUCUUAUGCUCUUGAAAGAGCCCCUGAGGCAAAGUUCCUGACUCUGGAAUCUGCUUUAUUUCUUAACCAUUCUGAGGUGUUCCUAUCCGGCCUUAGGAGGAUCACAUAGCACUUGGGAAUAAAGAUGCAGACCAGUAAUCCUAUACUGGAGGCUAAGAUGGCAAAGACCUCCAUGGCCACCAUGGCUUUUCCCUUGGAACUCUGGUAUGUGGGAAGGAAGCAGACCCACACACUGCAGAAGACCAGCAUGCUAAAGGUGAUGAACUUGGCUUCAUUGAAAGUGUCAGGGAGGUUCCUGGCCAGGAAAGCCACCAUGAAGCUACCCAACGCCAGGAUGCCCAUGUAGCUCAGGACACAGUAGAAGGCAAUUACAGAACCCUCCUUACACUCAAUGAUGAUGUGGCCAGGCUCUGAGUGAGUGUCUGUACCUAAGAAGGGAGGUGAGGUCCCCAGCCAGAUCCCACAGAGAAUGACUUGGAUCAUAGAGCAUAUGAGGACAAGAAAAUUAUACACCUGAGGUUGUACCCACAUCCUGAUCUUGCUCCCUGGUCUUGUGGCCUUGAAGGCCAGAACCACCAUGAUGGUUUUGGCCAAAACAGAGGAAACUGCCAUUGUGAACACAACUCCAAAUGUUGUUUGCCGAAGAAGACAGGUUACUGUGGUAGGACGGCCAAUGAAAAGCAAAGAACAAAGGAAACAAAAGAUGAGAGAGAUGAGAAGAGUAUAGCUGAGAAUCCUGUUGUUGGCUUUGACAAUAGGAGUAUCUUGAUGCUUGACAAAGAGGAUGAGGAUCAGAAGUGUGAGGAGAGAGAAGGAAAGAGCCAUGCAGGUCAGAAUCAAUCCCAAAGGUUCUUCAGUGUUGAGGAAGGUCACAACCUUUGGGAGGCACCGAUCUUUCUCUCUGUUUGGAUAUUGAUCUUCUGGGCACUUCAUACAAUUGUCCAUAUCUGCAAUUUAGUAAGCAAUUAUUAAGAAUCCACUACUUCCAAAGUUCUGUACUAGGCAAUGGAGAAAUACAAUAAAACAAAACAAAAUGGUCCCUGUCCUCAGGCAUCUUGUGUUGACUUUACUAGUGAGAUGUAACAUAUACUCAAAUGAAUCAACUCAGGGUGAUUUGAUCAAUGCAAGAAAAAAACUGGGAAAGGUUUAGUAAAAAAGAGAUUAUAUGAAACUUAAAGAAGAUAAGGAUAUCAGGAGAGGGCAAUGGGAAAUGUUCCAGGAAUGAGGCGGAGCCUGUACAAAAUCAGGAGGCAAGGGAUGAAGUGUAAAAUUUGAGAUAUAGUCUGUAGUCCAGUUUGGAAGGGCAAGAGAACCCAUGAAGUAAGUGGGUUUAAAGACUGGAAGAUCAGGUUGGAUAUGAAUUGUAAGAGAACUUUGAACACUAAGCUAAAGGGUUUAAAAGGUUUUAUCCUAGACAUAAUACAUCAAAUGUUUAUCAGUAAAGACAUGAUUUGAUGAUACCUAUGACUUGCAAAGGUUAGUUUAGCAGCUUGGGACAGGGUGAACUUAAAAGGAAGAAGAGUAAAACUGGUUUAGACCCAUUACCAAGUCCAGGUAAGAGGUAAGGAAAUCCUGAGCUAGCAUCAGAGCCAUACCCAUGAGAAAAGGGUAUGUAUGAGAGAAGAUUAUCAACAACAGAGAAGCCAUUAAGAGGUUUUACUUUCUAAAAAUGAACAAGGAAACAGGUAAAUGAGGAAAUCAAAUUGAAUUUCCCUCACCAAAUCACUGGGUUUGCUCAUUUUUGUAUAUGUUGCAUCUCACAAGUAGAACAAAUAUAAAUCUUCACUCAUGCUAAAAAAGCCUACAAAGUACAGGCAGAGAGGGACCUUUUAUUAAAAUAAAAAAAUGUAUGUCUGCAAUCAAAAGCAAGCAUCACAUGCAAUGGAGAUAUGUUAGAACCUUUGCCAAAAAACGUAGGACUAAAGCAUGGAUGAUGCUGACUUUCUCCAUUGUUUGACCUAGUUCUUAGCAAUUCUAGUAAUAGCAAUAUGACAAAGAAAGAAUUAAAGGGAAAAAGAGAAAGUAAAGCUAUCCCUAUUUGCUAAUGACACACUGACUUAUUUAGAAAAUUCUAAAGAAUUAUCAAGGAUACUAUCGGAGGCAAUGAAUAGCUUCAGUAAAGAUGCAGGUUUCCAAAUCCUCAAAAAUCAUCAGCUUUUCUCUAAUGCAUAAAAUAUUCAGGGAUUAGUCUACCAAAUAACAUAAAAGACUCAAUUAUAAUAUAUACACACAUUCAAUUAUAAAGUCCUCUUUAAAGAAAAACAAAAAUUUAAAUAGCUACAGAAAUAUUUAUUGCUCAUGGCUGGGCUAUGUCAUGAUAAUGAAAAUGACAACAAAGUUAAUUUAGAAUUUUAAUAUUAUACCAAUGAAAUUAUCAAAGGAAUAUUUAUAAAACUCAAUAAAGUAAAAAGAUGGGGAAAUUAAAAAUCUAAAAUAUCAAGGGAAAUAAUGGAAGGAUUUGGGGAUAAUGGUAUAGAAGGAAUAAGCAAGUUAACUGUAUGCACAGCUCUAGCGUAAGCCUCCAUUUUGUGGGACCAACUAGUUGUUAUAUAAGCUGCUUUUCUGUAAUAAGGAUGGUGGUGUUCUCAGCACGAAAAGGAAAGUUUGGACAAGUGGCAGAGUAGGGAUAGUAAGAUUCAUUUUGAUCAUGCUAACUUUGCACUGUUGAAAGGCUAUUCUGUAAGAGAUGUUCUAGAGAAAAGUGGCAAUGCAGGUGAGAAUUCAGAGGAAUAGUUAGAGAUGAAUAAAGGGACUGGAAAUCUGAAUCAUGAUUGUUCCUGAGCUUUUGUGAGUUGAUGAGAGCCCCAAGAGAGGGUAUGGAGAGAGGAGAUGGGCCAGAAGAGAACCUUUAGGUAUCCUCUACUGAUGGGAUUGGAGAUGGACUAUAAACCAUCAGGAACCUGAGGUCAGUAACUAUUCUCUGGUUCCUAGCACAGUCCCUAGCAUAUUUUAGGUACUUAAUAAGUGCUGGUUGAACUGAAUUGAACUCAUCAAAAGAGUUUGAAAAGGAGUAGUUGGAUAAGAGGUGAACUAGGAGAAAGCAGUGUCACAGAAGACAAGGGAGAUUUUAAUUUUCUAGCAGGAUCAGGAGUGGUCAACUGUCAAAAGCUGCAGAAAUGUCCAGAAGAAUUAGAAAUGAGAAAAGGCCAUUGGAAGUAGCAGGUGAAUCCAUUGCUGAUGUUGGAGAAAACAGUUUCAAUAGUAUAAAGGGAUCAGAAGCCUGAUGGUAGUUAGAGAAAUUAGAAGCAGCAGCUUGUCACUGAAAAGGAAGAGAUCACUUGAGAGGGUGGCGGGUGAAGCUGUGUUUUUUUAAAAGAGUGAAUUAGGAAUGUAUGUUAGCCACAGGAAAGGAGCCGGUAGAAAAUGGUUACCUCUCUCCAGUGGAUCAGUGGUUAAAGGAUAUGAACAGUUAGUUCACAGAGGAAGAAAUCAAAACUAUCAACAGAUGAGGGGAAAUGCUCCACAUCACUAAUAAUAAGUGGAGUGUAUAUUAGAGCAACCCUGAAGUUCCCCCUCACAUCAAAAUCUGCGAAUCUCAUUAUCUUCCCUAUUUAUUUUAAGGAAAUCAUUCUUCCAGUCUCCCAGGCCAGCACCCUCGGGGUUAUGCUCAAACACUUACUUCUCUGGUUGGAAAUCUCUCCCUCUGGGCACUGGGCACAGUCAAAGCAGCAGAUGGGUUCACCCUCCUGGGCAAUUUUCCUGAGUCCAAAGCCACAGUGCUCAGUGCACACAGCCUGAAGGGUCUAGGCAAUAACAGUGAAGAGAGUGCAUCAAAGUCCUACUUGUGUCCUGCAGAGCAGAGGUUUGCCUUUUUUUUGUGAGAGCUAAUGAUACUGAUUUAGAAUUGGAAAAGAUAAUCCUGUUAUGAUUCUUAUAGAAAGGUAUCCCAAUGUGUAUUCACUUGGUACCUGACUUUGAUGGCAAAGAUGCUUUUUGUUUUUGCAUCUUUGGUAACUAGCACAGGGACAUAGUAUCCAAUGAACAAACAUUUAUUGAGGAGCCAAGAUGGCAAAGUCCUGGGAGAGACUCAGUUGAACUCUCCCAACAUUUGCCUCAGAACAACUUUAGAUUACAUUCUUAGCAGAGCCAACAAAAAGUGAGAUGUUUAUCCAGCCCAAGAUAACUUGGGACACCUGGGUGGUGGUAAACAUGGCGUGCAGCAAAUGCUGUGGCCAUAAUAGCAGUGGGUCUUGGAAGUAGGUACAGCAGCAGGAGCAGCUUCAGGAGCUCUCAGCCUACAGAUAAGGGGAUCAGAAAGAGAUGAAAGGGGAUCCUGUGCUGGUAUUGGGUGUCAUUCUGAUUCAAGGUUCCAGGGUGAAGAGGAACAUUAGAACUAAUGACCACAGAGGAGCAGAGGCCCUGGCCAUGGUUCUGUUGGUGGAUAAGAGUGCUUGGGAUUGCUCAUGAGAAAGCAGUGUCUCUGCUCUCAGUUCCAAGGUAGCAAGCACCAAGUUUUGAUUUUGGAAGGAAUAGAAAAUGGUUCCUUUCUACCCUUUUGGAUUUUGGAUUUAUACUAGAUGGGGGAGGGGUAGGGAGGAGGAUACGUUAUUUAUUAGUAAGGGGAGGAACAAAUGUGAAAGGCUGGUAGAAGGAUUAAGUACGGUGUCCAGCUUAUAGAGGGGCACAGUAACAACAGAGCAUAAACCAGAACAAUGAUUCGCAGACAACCAAGGAUUGCUCUUCUUCAGUCUGAUGAUGUCUGUUAUCUGAUACAAGUAGGAGGCCAGACUAGAACAGGAAUUGAACUCCUCAGUUAAGUUUUAGUAAUUGAUUUAAAUGCUAACUAAAAAAAAUUAAAUAUUCCUUAAAAAAAAAACCCCAAAACUAGCAGCCUUUCAAUUGAAAGGUAAUCAGGUCUCUUCCUGGUGAACGACCAGAGCACAGGCCAGGAGAGCAAUGACUACAACUUUCCUAUCUUGGAAACAUCAAAAAUUUGAGGAUCUUGAGAAUUAGUUCUGAAAAUAGCAUCAUGAAAAAGCCUGAAAUUGGGACAGUGUCUCCUACCCCCAGGUAAGUACAACCUAACUUUAACAUAAAAGUUCAAAGUAAAGAAAAAGGAUGGAAACAACAACAGCAACAAAAGAACCUAACUGUCAAAAAUUGCUAGGAUAAUAGGGAAAUUUAAGGCACAAACUUAGAAGAAGAUAUAAGGUUGUCAAAAUAACUAUAAGCAAUUUUUCAAAGAAAAAAAUGGGAAUUAGACAUGAGGCUGAGUGGGACAGGGGUCUCGAACAACAUACCCUCUCUUUCUACCAAUAAUUUCUGGAUUCUGGUACUGAAGUAAAAGCAGGUUUAUUGUAGCUUCUUCAAGGGGACAUCCCCUGGCUGCAGAUGCCCUAACAGCAAAUGUGGUGGCAAAAAAAUGCCCUAAUGGCAAGUGCAAGCAUCUAUGUGUAAAACAUACUUUUUAUAAUAAUACUGAUGCAAGAUUACCCCCCGCCCCUUCCCCCAUCCAAUCUUUUGUUGGGUUGGGAGCUGUGAUGUGAGCACCUGUACAGAAGCAUUACAAACCUCCAACAAGAUUUUCAUCCCUCCACACUUCCCUGCUACCUUAUCAAACUCACAAUUUUCCAUAACAAGGCUUGGGCCAGGGAGAUAAGUUCAGGUGAUACAUUUGCAAAGAAACAUGGUAUCUUCAAGAAAGUUACUGGGGGGCCUCCUGUCCUAGUUAUAUUUGUCCCUUCCUCCUGGCUUCUCUGGGACUCUCCCUGGACUCAUUCCCAGAGUGAAGCUUUUAGAUAAAAAUUAACAAAAGCAACAAAACUAACUCCUGCAUUUCUUUCCCUAGUCAGAGAAAAACUGUGCUUUAAACUGUGUGUGUGUGUUUUUUUACCCCCUGAGAAUAUUGGAGUACAAAUCAGGGGACUAAUAAUACCUUACUGAGAAAGACAUAAGACCAACAAAAAUUUCUGAUAGAGCUCAAAAAUGAUUUUUAAAAAUCACAUACAAUAGAGGAAAAAUUAGGAAAAGUAAUGAUAGUGAGCCAAAAUUCUGAAAAAGGAAUCAAUGAUUUGGUAAAUGAGACACAAAAAACACUUUAGAAAGUAACACCUUAAAAAAUAAAAUUGGGCAAAUAAUAAGACUUACAAAAA